CCUACGGGUGGCAGCAGUGGGGAAUAUUGCACAAUGGGGGAAACCCUGAUGCAGCGACGCCGCGUGAGCGAAGAAGUAUUUCGGUAUGUAAAGCUCUAUCAGCAGGGAAGAAGAAAGACGGUACCUGACUAAGAAGCCCCGGCUAACUGCGUGACAGCAGCCGCGGUAAUACGUAGGGGGCAAGCGUUAUCCGGAUUUACUGGGUGUAAAGGGAGCGUAGACGGCAGGGCAAGUCUGAAGUGAAAGCCCAGGGCUCAACCCUGGGACUGCGUUGGAAACUGUGGGGCUAGAGUGCUGGAGAGGGAAGUGGAAUUCCGAGGGUAGCGGUGAAAAGCGGAGAUAUUAGGAGGGACACCAGUGGGGAAGGCGGCCUAAUGGACGGUAACUGACGGUGAGGCUCGAAAGCGUGGGGAGCAAACAGGAUUAGAUACCCCUGUAGUC
This 441-nucleotide ribosomal RNA is filed under the name uncultured bacterium. RNAcentral's name for it is "partial 16S ribosomal RNA". It matches the Rfam family "Bacterial small subunit ribosomal RNA", at positions 338 to 795 of the family's 1533-position model. The record is from RNAcentral.